This 116-nucleotide non-coding RNA is filed under the name Modestobacter marinus. RNAcentral describes it as "SAM-IV sequence". It matches the Rfam family "SAM (S-adenosyl methionine) riboswitch aptamer". Rfam says of the family: SAM-IV is a mRNA element that regulates gene expression via direct sensing of S-adenosylmethionine (SAM or AdoMet). SAM-IV riboswitches share conserved nucleotide positions with the previously described SAM-I riboswitches sequence analysis and molecular recognition experiments suggest that SAM-I and SAM-IV riboswitches share similar ligand binding sites, but have different scaffolds. Lineage: Bacteria; Bacillati; Actinomycetota; Actinomycetes; Geodermatophilales; Geodermatophilaceae. The record is from Rfam by way of RNAcentral.
GCUCACGAGAGGCAGCGACAAGCACCUGGCUGGCUGCCCGGCAACCUCAACUCCGUCUGAGGUGCUCCAGGGGAAGAGCUGGCUGGACGGCGCCCGCCGUCCGGCAAGGACGGAGC